This 250-nucleotide ribosomal RNA is filed under the name uncultured bacterium. Its description in RNAcentral is "partial 16S ribosomal RNA". It matches the Rfam family "Bacterial small subunit ribosomal RNA", at positions 524 to 772 of the family's 1533-position model. The record is from RNAcentral.
GACGUAGGGUGCAAGCGUUGUCCGGAUUUACUGGGCGUAAAGCGCUCGUAGGCGGCUCGUUAAGUGUGAAGUGAAAUCUCCAGUGCUCAACACGGAAACUGCUUUACAUACUGGCGGGCUUGAGGGACGAAGAGGUAGAUGGAAUUCCUGGUGUAGCGGUGAAAUGCGUUGAUAUCAGGAGGAACACCGAUGGCGAAGGCAGUCUACUGGUCGUUUCCUGACGCUGAGGAGCGAAAGCGUGGGUAGCAAA